RNAcentral lists this ribosomal RNA (489 nucleotides) under uncultured bacterium. RNAcentral describes it as "bacterial SSU rRNA". It matches the Rfam family "Bacterial small subunit ribosomal RNA", at positions 23 to 507 of the family's 1533-position model. The record is from RNAcentral.
CUCAGGAUGAACGCUAGCGGCAGGCUUAAUACAUGCAAGUCGUGGGGCAGCAUGAGUAGCAAUACUUGAUGGCGACCGGCAAACGGGUGAGGAACACGUACACAACCUUCCUUCAAGCGGGGAAUAGCCCAGAGAAAUUUGGAUUAAUACCCCAUAAUAUAUUUGAUAAGGCAUCUUAUUAAUAUUAAAGCUUCGGCACUUGAUGAUGGGUGUGCGGCUGAUUAGAUAGUUGGCGGGGUAACGGCCCACCAAGUCUACGAUCAGUAGCUGAUGUGAGAGCAUGAUCAGCCACACGGGCACUGAGACACGGGCCCGACUCCUACGGGCGGCAGCAGUAAGGAAUAUUGGACAAUGGACGAAAGUCUGAUCCAGCCAUGCCGCGUGAAGGAUUAAGGUCCUCCGGAUUGUAAACUUCUUUUAUAUGGGACGAAAAAGGGCAUUCUUGUUCACUUGACGGUACCAUAUGAAUAAGCACCGGCUAACUCCGUG